Molecule: long non-coding RNA, 531 nt
Organism: Tachysurus fulvidraco (yellow catfish)
Lineage: Eukaryota; Metazoa; Chordata; Actinopteri; Siluriformes; Bagridae
Exons: 2
Source: RefSeq, a predicted model, not a curated record
CGCAGAGCUCGUGUUGCUUUUGCAGGACAGCAUACCUGUAGGUGGGCCGCUGCUCUUGCGCUUCAGCCAUCUGUCCACCGUCUCCGCGCUCACGCUCUCCAGCACAAACUCGUCCAGCAUCUGCGGGUGCAGGGAAAGAACGAGAGCAUGUGAUUCAGGAGGACGUCAGGAUCUCGGGGGCUUAGUGCAGACGUCCGUCAUCUCACACUGACCCCGCUGGCAUGAUCGCUGCUGGACAGCUCAAAGGCCACAGACCACAGACCCUCAGCGAACCCCUUCCGAGUGACACAGGGCCGAGGCUGGAGCGGUGUGGCAUAGGAGACCAGUUAACCUCGAGUCAGGAUCAGUAUUAAUGCCAGUGCCACGGUGUGUCAGUUUGAUGUAUCUGUAAUGUGUCCUGCUAAAAUGUAUGGUUUGGCCUGUAAAAAGGCAUAAAAAGAACUGUGCAAUGCCAUUUGGAACUCUAUCCAAAAGGAGGGAAAUAUGCCAUGUUUAAUUAAUAAAAUAAAUAAAAUCAUUGUCCCUGUAAAA